Pistacia vera is the source of this 251-nucleotide long non-coding RNA. RefSeq lists it as uncharacterized. The transcript has 3 exons. NCBI's taxonomy places the organism in Eukaryota, Viridiplantae, Streptophyta, Magnoliopsida, Sapindales, Anacardiaceae. The record is from RefSeq and is a predicted model, not a curated record.
UUGAACAAAGAGAAAAAGAAGAUAUGAAAGAACAAACCCAACUCCAAACUCUCCCUCGUCGGCCCGCUCAUUCCAACUUCUGAAGCACAAAAGAAAUGGCCAAGUAGAUACACUUGCAAAUGCUUCUUCAAGGUAUAGUCGAUCAGAUGAAGAGGAAGAAGUUCAGCAGGCAAAGUGUCAUUAUACUAAAGCUUUCAUAGAUAGGAGUGAGUACAAUCUUGGUGAUAAUGCUUAUGUCAAGGCUAAGGAUG